CCAAGCUGCAAACUUGGCGACGCACCUGUGAGUGCCGGGGCUU
RNAcentral lists this transfer RNA (43 nucleotides) under Paroedura oviceps. Its description in RNAcentral is "partial tRNA-Cys". Lineage: Eukaryota; Metazoa; Chordata; Lepidosauria; Squamata; Gekkonidae. The record is from RNAcentral.